GGGAGAUUGACGGUACUGUAGGAAUAAGGACCGGCUAACUCCGUGCCAGCAGCCGCGGUAAUACGGAGGGUCCGAGCGUUAUCCGGAAUCAUUGGGUUUAAAGGGUCCGUAGGUGGGGUUCUAAGUCAGAGGUGAAAGGUUGCAGCUCAACUGUAGAAUUGCCUUUGAUACUGGAGCUCUUGAGUUAUGUUGCUGUGGCCGGAACAUGUGGUGUAGCGGUGAAAUGCAUAGAUAUCACAUAGAACACCGAUUGCGAAGGCAGGUCACAAAGCAUACACUGACACUGAGGGACGAAAGCGUGGGGAGCGAACGGGAUUAGAUACCCCGGUAGUCCACGCCGUAAACGAUGGAUACUAGCUGUUGGGUUUUCGGACUCGGCGGCCAAGCGAAAGUGAUAAGUAUCCCACCUGGGGAGUACGUUCGCAAGAAUGAAACUCAAAGGAAUUGACGGGGGCCCGCACAAGCGGUGGAGCAUGUGGUUUAAUUCGAUGAUACGCGAGGAACCUUACCAGGGCUUAAAUGGGAGAUGACCGGGUCAGAGACGACCCUUUCUUCGGACAUCUUUCAAGGUGCUGCAUGGUUGUCGUCAGCUCGUGCCGUGAGGUGUCAGGUUAAGUCCUAUAACGAGCGCAACCCCUGCCGUUAGUUGCCAGCGAGUCAAGUCGGGGACUCUAACGGGACUGCCGGUGCAAACCGAGAGGAAGGUGGGGACGACGUCAAAUCAUCACGGCCCUUACGUCCUGGGCUACACACGUGCUACAAUGGUCGGUACAAUGGGAAGCCACCCCGUGAGGGGGCGCGGAUCUUAAAAGCCGAUCACAGUUCGGAUCGGGGUCUGCAACUCGACCCCGUGAAGCUGGAAUC
RNAcentral lists this ribosomal RNA (864 nucleotides) under uncultured Bacteroidota bacterium. RNAcentral describes it as "bacterial SSU rRNA". It matches the Rfam family "Bacterial small subunit ribosomal RNA", at positions 463 to 1333 of the family's 1533-position model. Lineage: Bacteria; Pseudomonadati; Bacteroidota. The record is from RNAcentral.